Molecule: non-coding RNA, 1845 nt
Organism: Populus trichocarpa (black cottonwood)
Lineage: Eukaryota; Viridiplantae; Streptophyta; Magnoliopsida; Malpighiales; Salicaceae
Source: Rfam
CCCACUUACAAUACCCCAUCUUAUAUUUAAGUCAUCUACAAAGGAUUCACCUUGUAAUGGUGAGCAAACCAGGAAAUGCCCAGUUUAAAAAUUGACUAUCUAUAGUGUUUGAAUUACAAUAUGAAGAAGCAUCCUUAAUGGUAAACCAGGUUUAAAUUCCUUGGAAGCGUCUGAGAGGGUGAGAGCCUUGUCAUGGUUGGACCUUGUCGCACCAUGAGAUGAUAUCUACAAGUUGGGUUGUUUGGAAAUAUAGCCCCAAAUUAGGUUAUAAAUUUUGUCCAAAGUUAAAUAUAGACGAGAGACCGUUAACAAAUAAGUACUGCAAGGAAAAUAUGAAAUGGACUUUGAAAAAAAAAUAAAAAAAAUUGUUUAAAAUUGUUGGGAGGGAAGUAAAUGGGGCCUGACGAUGUGCCUCAAGUGGAUAUGGAAUGACAAUAGUCAUUCUAUCGAUUAGAUCGUGGGGUGGACUGAUACGGAUCAUAAUGGCAGCCCAAGCCUAUGCCUUUAAAAUACCCACAAAGACAUCAUGAUUAUGAUCGUGGACUACAACCCGUGUCGUCAUGGCUUGCCUUGGCACAUGUAUAUUUUAGACAUUGACCUACGAGCUUUUGAUUCACCCUAUUUCGAAACAUGAACCAAAAGGUCUAACACGUGUGUGAGUCAACGAGUGAAUAAAACUAUAAGGCGUAAGAAAAUGUAUUGGUAGGACCCUCCCGAGGGUCGCGCUGUCAAGUGACCUUGAUCUUCUAAAAAGGGUUUGAGUGAAAGAAUAAAUGUUAGGACUAGAAAAAUGAUGAAUUAUGCCCAAGCAAGGCAGAGAUAAAGGAAAAUUUGGUGAAGGCCCACAAUGAUAGUGAUGUGCAAAUUGUUUAUAUGAUUUAGGUAUAAGGGGAAAAAACUAAUCGAACCAUCUUGUAGUUGGUUUCCUCUAAAGUGUUCCUCAUGAUAACUAGAGCUCAAUGUGAGUUCUAUCGGGUAAAGACAAUGAUUAAAGGCAUCGAGGGCAUAACUCCCUUAACCUAUUCUCAAACUUUAAAUAUGUAGGGAAGACGUGGCUACUUCAUUGAGUCGUGUCACAUAAUCAAGGGCUCUAAGUGGGCCAUUUUUGGUAAGAGGGAUUGAUGAUGCAGGAUAAAAUAGAAGCCAGGUUAUGGUGCCUAACUACACGCUAACCUAAAACCCACAAAAGGUUAUGGUUAACUAAGAUAGCAAUAUGGUGGUCAUGCAAGUUGAAAUCCAUUAAAAAAUAUGUAACAACUCACUUAUUAAAUCAACUAGCCUUAAAAAUAUAUGGCGUUGAAGCACGAGGCUUAAAAUCAGCUGUCGAGGCAAGUAUAAAGACUCAAUAAGUAGAAAGGUGUGGCGGUUGCUGCAAAUAUUAAGGUGCAAGCUAGGAUGGAGAGGCCAACAAUGCAGAUAUUAGUCGUGGUAGCAUAUAUUAAAUGAGAACUUUAAAGGUUGAAUAAAGGAAAUGAUCCAUGUGAAUGACACUAGUAUAUGGGAUAAUUGAUUCUAAGAGAUGUGAGAAGCCCAUUUGACAGCGCAUUUGCGUGCGGACUUCAAAAGAGAAUCAGGUUAAACUUCAUGAACCAGGAUAUGAUGACUAACAACAUUGUUAGAGAGUCUAGAGAUAUCGACAAGGGCCUCGAAAAAAGUUAUCUUUUAUACUUAACAGCUUGCCCACCUUUAAAAUGACUUAGUCACAAAUAUGAUUCAACGACUAGAAAAACACAUUGUAUGGUGUUUGGGGUGCCUCUUGUGAUCGAGGACCAAGUGCCUCCCACGUUCGGUUGUACUCACAUGUGCAUUAGGUCUCCAAAGCGAAGUGGAUCUGUAAUCUCGGGA